AAACAACAAUAAAAUUAACUUUAAAAUAAAAAUAGUCAAAAUAUUAAAAUAAAUCAUACAGAUUAGUUGGUUGAAAUACGAUCAAACCGUCUACUCCAGUUAAAGGUCCAAACAUCCUUAUUUCAAAAUGGC
This is a long non-coding RNA of Cydia pomonella (codling moth), 132 nucleotides long. RefSeq lists it as uncharacterized. Lineage: Eukaryota; Metazoa; Arthropoda; Insecta; Lepidoptera; Tortricidae. The record is from RefSeq and is a predicted model, not a curated record. The transcript has 3 exons.